UUUACUACAAUGUAGAGAGCUUUUCGGUAGUGGCAGGGAUUCUCUUGAACCGUUGGUGGCGUGAACUUAGAGAGCUAGAAAGAGUGAAAUAUUCUUGCACAUUACAACUCAACUGUGAUGGAAAGAUUGAUGUUGUUGGAGGCUAUUUGAUUGGUGUUCUAGACGUUGCAAGGUUGGAAAACUUUUCGUUAGUGAGAUACCGUUGCGGGAGAUAGAGCUAGUGGCUGACGAGUUUGUUCGAGUGGAUCUUAUUGCUGAAGUGAGCCACCGCAUUGUUCGUGAAGGCGUUCGAUUCAGACUUACCUAAUUCAUAUACCGUUGCGGGAGAUAGAGCUAGUGGCUGACGAGUUUGUUUGAGUGGAUCCUAUUGCUGAAGUGAGUCAUCGCAUUGUUCGUGGAGGCUUUCGAUUCAGACUUACCUAGUUCAUGUUAGUUAUUUUCUUUUUUUCUUUGGGGUUUGCAUACCCGUCAAUAAAACUCAUAUUACUCUGUUAGAUGCUCUAUGGUCUUAAUGUGAGAUUUGUGCUAGAGUUUUAUUAUUUGAGUGAUUGUUGGUUUUCCUAUCAAUUGACUAAGGUAUUGGGCGAUAAUUAUUUUCUCUUUAAUUAUUAAUAAUACUAUUAGGCCUGCAUCUUUUUCUCUUAGUGUUUGUGUAAAUGGUCAAACGUUAGAGAAAGGGGUUCGCCUGGCAGGUAGUGUUAGUUGGGUGUCAGUCACGUAUAGGGGGUAGUUUGGGACGUGACAAACUAUUUAUGGAAAAGCUUUUUGAAUGAUUUCGUUGUAAACUAUAUUGUAAGUUGAAUGAUCAUCAUCACUAUCUGUUG
This is a non-coding RNA of Nicotiana tabacum (common tobacco), 824 nucleotides long. NCBI's taxonomy places the organism in Eukaryota, Viridiplantae, Streptophyta, Magnoliopsida, Solanales, Solanaceae. The record is from RefSeq and is a predicted model, not a curated record.